GACGGGGGAUGCAAGCGUUAUCCGGAAUGAUUGGGCGUAAAGGGUCCGCAGGUGGCCCGGUCAGUCCGCUGUCAAAGCCUGGGGCUCAACCCUGGAGAGGCGGCGGAGACCACCGGGCUUGAGUCCGGGUAGGGGCAGAGGGAAUUCCCGGUGGAGCGGUGAAAUGCGUAGAGAUCGGGAAGAACACCAGCGGCGAAGGCGGCGACCUGGACAAGUACUGACACUCAACUACGAAAGCGUGGGGAGCAAACAGG
RNAcentral lists this ribosomal RNA (254 nucleotides) under uncultured bacterium. RNAcentral describes it as "partial 16S ribosomal RNA". It matches the Rfam family "Bacterial small subunit ribosomal RNA", at positions 524 to 776 of the family's 1533-position model. The record is from RNAcentral.